AUGGAAACCUCACCAUCAACCUGAUCCUGAUGAACAUCCUUUUAAUCAAAACAAGAAUGAACCUGAUCCUGAUGAUUCUCAAGGUAAUCACCAUGAGGUGAUGGACAUCCUGAAUGGUGGGAUUCGCCCUGACAAAACCAUUGAUGAACCUGAUCCUGAUGAUUCUCAAGGUAAUCACCAUGAGGUGAUGGACAUCGUGAAUGGUGGGAUUUGCCCUGCCAAAACCAUUGAUGAACCUGAUCCUGAUGAUUCUCAAGGCAAUCACCAUGAGGUGAUGGACAUCGUGAAUGGUGGGAUUUGCCCUGCCAAAACCAUUGAUGAACCUGAUCCUGAUGAUUCUCAAGGCAAUCACCAUGAGGCGAUGGACAUCCUGAAUAUUGGGAUUUGCCCUGCCAAAACCAUUGACGAACCUGAUCCUGAUGAUUCUCAAGGCAAUCACCAUGAGGUGAUGGACACCCUGAAUGGUGGGAUUCGCGCUGACAAAACCUUUGACGAACCUGAUCCUGAUGAUUGUCUAGUAACUGAAAACAUUGAAGACCAUCUCCAUCUAAAAAAAGCUUAUAAAGAACCUGAUCCUGAUGAAUCUGAAACAAAUCAGGUUGUUCAGGCUGAGCCCGAUCCUGAUGAUGAUUUAGCAGCGUCAGAUGAAGUAUCUAGGAUGCAAAUUGAUGAACCAGAUCCAGAUGAUGAAGAACUACGGAGAAUCCAAGAUCCUGUUAGUGUUGUCUGCAGCCGCCUUCAGAAGGCUACUGAGACACUGAGAGCUGAAUUGA
Molecule: long non-coding RNA, 773 nt
Filed under: Populus trichocarpa (black cottonwood)
Lineage: Eukaryota; Viridiplantae; Streptophyta; Magnoliopsida; Malpighiales; Salicaceae
Description: long non-coding RNA (PTRI_LNC003349)
Source: RNAcentral